This 177-nucleotide transfer RNA is filed under the name Populus wilsonii. Its description in RNAcentral is "tRNA-Ser". The record is from RNAcentral. Lineage: Eukaryota; Viridiplantae; Streptophyta; Magnoliopsida; Malpighiales; Salicaceae.
AACUCUUGGAAUAAAGGUAUCCAUUGUUAUGUGAUUUGAUAUAUUGCGGUCAAUAGCAUUUCAGUAACAUUGAUAAAUUAGGUGAAGGUGCGGAAAGAGAGGGAUUCGAACCCUCGGUAAACAAAAGCCUACAUAGCAGUUCCAAUGCUACGCCUUCAACCACUCGGCCAUCUCUCC